This 559-nucleotide long non-coding RNA is filed under the name Lynx canadensis (Canada lynx). Its description in RNAcentral is "lncRNA (ENSLCNG00005002117.1)". The record is from RNAcentral. Lineage: Eukaryota; Metazoa; Chordata; Mammalia; Carnivora; Felidae.
CCUUGGUCCCAUUACCUAGCAGAGGAAAGAUGCUCCUUGAUGUAACACCUCACACCACCAAACGCUCUCAUGGGCCCCCACUCUUCAUUCAUGCACCUGCAUAAAAGUCUUCUUCAUAUUACAAAAGAAGCCAGAGCACAUCACCUUUCUGCAUGUCUGCCAUGUUCUUCAAACAGUGGGCUGGCGCCAGAUAUGUGUCACAUGGUCAAGGUAAGUGACACAGCUGCAGGCAGCCUUGCCCCAGGCCCUUCUGAGGCAGGUCCCUGUCUGCUGGCUGAGUCCUGAGCUUGGGAGGUGUGUAUCCUGUAAACAACAGUUUGGUGCUAAGGUUCCCCUUCUUUGUGGCCAUGAGACCAGACCUCUGCUCCCAUUUUAUCUCUGUUUUUCUUCAGAGCUUCCUACCACCCUUGGGCAGGGGACUGUGGGAGAUUCUCAGAGCCAUCUGCCUUGACAGCACAGAGGGAGUUAUAAGCACUCUCGUUUGGCAUCCUGUCAGCCCCAACCCACCAUGAUGACCUCAAACUGCUCGUGCCAGACCUCCUCAUGAUAGGACCUUCCC